UCAUCACAUAUCAAAUUCUUCCACUUCUAUUUUCCAUUAGGUAAUCACCUCUUCCAUGACCAUGUUUUGAUAUAUCUACGCUUGCUUAGCAUGUUCAUCACCAUUAAACCUUCCAUUUUCAUAUUUCUUUUUCUUAUUUAAAAUAUUUUCUUCGUCCAUAAAAUUACCCAAAAAUAUUUUUCACUUUUCUUAGCGUUUUAUUUAAUUUUAUAUAAUUUUUAUUUUCGUAUUUUUUUAAUAUUAAUAUUUUAUUUUAAUUAUUUAUUCUAAAUGCUCCAUUUUAAUACACUUUUUUUUAUUGAUUUUAUUUUUAUGACUUAAAAUUAUUGUUAACAUUUGAUUUUUGGGAUGAAGGUUGACCACUGUCUCAUGGUCAACCUGACCUUUUCUUGGAAUUUUAUUUCACAUUUUCAAUUUAUUUGGAAUUUAUUUUUGACCUAGUNUUUAUUGAUUUUAUUUUUAUGACUUAAAAUUAUUGUUAACAUUUGAUUUUUGGGAUGAAGGUUGACCACUGUCUCAUGGUCAACCUGACCUUUUCUUGGAAUUUUAUUUCACAUUUUCAAUUU
This 566-nucleotide long non-coding RNA is filed under the name Lathyrus oleraceus (garden pea). RNAcentral's name for it is "Pisum sativum (pea) long non-coding RNA (PSAT_LNC013452)". Lineage: Eukaryota; Viridiplantae; Streptophyta; Magnoliopsida; Fabales; Fabaceae. The record is from RNAcentral.